CUAAGUGACAAAGCGUACAAGGUGGAUGCCUUGGCAAUCAGAGGCGAAGAAGGACGUGCUAAUCUGCGAAAAGCUUGGAUGAGUCGAUAAGAGGCGUUUAAUCCAAGAUGUCCGAAUGGGGAAACCCAGUAGAUGAAGAAUCUACUAUCACUUACUGAAUUCAUAGGUAAGUGAGGCGAACCGGGAGAACUGAAACAUCUAAGUACCCCGAGGAAAAGAAAUCAACCGAGAUUUUGUGAGUAGCGGCGAGCGAAAGCGAAAGAGCCUGUUAGUGAUAGCGAUAGAGACAGAGGAACAAGCUGGGAAGCUUGGCGACACAGGGUGAUAGCCCCGUACUCGAAGUCCAGGUCGUGGUACUAAGCUAACGAGAAGUAGGGCGGGACACGUGAUAUCCUGUUUGAAGAUGGGGGGACCAUCCUCCAAGGCUAAAUACUCCUGAUUGACCGAUAGUGAACCAGUACUGUGAAGGAAAGGCGAAAAGAACCCCGGUGAGGGGAGUGAAAUAGAACCUGAAACCUUGUACGUACAAGCAGUGGGAGCCCGCAAGGGUGACUGCGUACCUUUUGUAUAAUGGGUCAGCGACUUAUAUUUUGUAGCGAGGUUAACCGAAUAGGGGAGCCGAAGGGAAACCGAGUCUUAACUGGGCGUUGAGUUGCAAGGUAUAGACCCGAAACCCGGUGAUCUAGCCAUGGGCAGGUUGAAGGUUGGGUAACACUAACUGGAGGACCGAACCGACUAAUGUUGAAAAAUUAGCGGAUGACUUGUGGCUGGGGGUGAAAGGCCAAUCAAACCGGGAGAUAGCUGGUUCUCCCCGAAAUCUAUUUAGGUAGAGCCUUGAGCGGACACCUUCGGGGGUAGAGCACUGUUUCGGCUAGGGGUCCAUCCCGGAUUACCAACCCGAUGCAAACUACGAAUACCGAAGAGUGAUACUCAGGAGACACACGGCGGGUGCUAACGUCCGUCGUGGAGAGGGAAACAACCCAGACCGCCAGCUAAGGUCCCAAAGUCUAUAUUAAGUGGGAAACGAAGUGGGAAGGCUUAGACAGCUAGGAUGUUGGCUUAGAAGCAGCCAUCAUUUAAAGAAAGCGUAAUAGCUCACUAGUCGAGUCGGCCUGCGCGGAAGAUGUAACGGGGCUCAAAUAUAGCACCGAAGCUGCGGCAUCAGACGUAAGUCUGUUGGGUAGGGGAGCGUUGUGUAAGCGGAUGAAGAUGGUUCGAGAGGGCUGUUGGACGUAUCACAAGUGCGAAUGCUGACAUAAGUAACGAUAAAACGGGUGAAAAACCCGUUCGCCGGAAGACCAAGGGUUCCUGUCCAACGUUAAUCGGGGCAGGGUGAGUCGGCCCCUAAGGCGAGGCUGAAAAGCGUAGUCGAUGGGAAACGGGUUAAUAUUCCCGUACUUGGUAAAGCUGCGAUGUGGGGACGGAGCAGGUUAGGUUAGCGUACUGUUGGAUAUGUACGUUUAAGUUGGUAGGUGGGAAGUUUAGGCAAAUCCGGACUUCCUUAACACUGAGAGAUGAUGACGAGGCUCUACGGAGCUGAAGUAACUGAUACCACACUUCCAGGAAAAGCCACUAAGCGACAGGCUUUACUAAACCGUACUGAAAACCGACACAGGUGGUCAGGUAGAGAAUACUCAGGCGCUUGAGAGAACUCGGGUGAAGGAACUAGGCAAAAUAGCACCGUAACUUCGGGAGAAGGUGCGCCGGCGUAGAUUGUAAGGGCUUGCCCCUGAAGGUUGAACCGGUCGAAGAUACCAGCUGGCUGCAACUGUUUAUUAAAAACACAGCACUCUGCAAACACGAAAGUGGACGUAUAGGGUGUGACGCCUGCCCGGUGCUGGAAGGUUAAUUGAAGAUGUGCAAGCAUCGGAUCGAAGCCCCAGUAAACGGCGGCCGUAACUAUAACGGUCCUAAGGUAGCGAAAUUCCUUGUCGGGUAAGUUCCGACCUGCACGAAUGGCAUAAUGAUGGCCAGGCUGUCUCCACCCGAGACUCAGUGAAAUUGAAAUCGCCGUGAAGAUGCGGUGUACCCGCGGCUAGACGGAAAGACCCCGUGAACCUUUACUAUAGCUUGACACUGAACAUUGAAUUUUGAUGUGUAGGAUAGGUGGGAGACUUAGAAGUAGUCACGCCAGUGAUUAUGGAGUCGUCCUUGAAAUACCACCCUUUAACGUUUGAUGUUCUAACGAAGAUUGCGAAACGCGGUCUCGGACAGUGUCUGGUGGGUAGUUUGACUGGGGCGGUCUCCUCCCAAAGCGUAACGGAGGAGCACGAAGGUUUGCUAAUCACGGUCGGACAUCGUGAGGUUAGUGCAAUGGUAUAAGCAAGCUUAACUGCGAGACAGACAAGUCGAGCAGGUACGAAAGUAGGUCAUAGUGAUCCGGUGGUUCUG
This 2391-nucleotide ribosomal RNA is filed under the name human oral metagenome. Its description in RNAcentral is "bacterial LSU rRNA". It matches the Rfam family "Bacterial large subunit ribosomal RNA", at positions 1 to 2431 of the family's 2925-position model. The record is from RNAcentral.